CGCGAUUCGCCCUUGGGGUGCAGCAGGCGCGAAAACUUUACAAUGCUGGCAACAGCGAUAAGGGGACCUCGAGUGCCAGGUUACAAAUCUGGCUGUCGUGAUGCCUAAAAAGCAUUGCAUAGCAAGGGCCGGGCAAGACCGGUGCCAGCCGCCGCGGUAACACCGGCGGCUCGAGUGGUAACCGUUAUUAUUGGGUCUAAAGGGUCUGUAGCCGGCCGGAUAAGUCUCUUGGGAAAUCCAGCAGCUCAACUGUUGGGCUUUCAGGAGAUACUGUCUGGCUCGAGGCCGGGAGAGGUGAGAGGUACUUCAGGGGUAGGGGUGAAAUCUUGUAAUCCUUGAAGGACCACCAGUGGCGAAGGCGUCUCACCAGAACGGACCUGACGGCAAGGGACGAAAGCUAGGGGCACGAACCGGAUUAGAUACCCGGGUAGUCCUAGCCGUAAACGAUACUCGCUAGGUGUCGGCCACGGUGCGACCGUUGUCGGUGCCGUAGGGAAGCCGUGAAGCGAGCCACCUGGGAAGUACGGCCGCAAGGCUGAAACUUAAAGGAAUUGGCGGGGGAGCAC
Molecule: ribosomal RNA, 566 nt
Filed under: uncultured archaeon
Lineage: Archaea
Description: bacterial SSU rRNA
Rfam family: Archaeal small subunit ribosomal RNA
Source: RNAcentral